Molecule: transfer RNA, 71 nt
Filed under: Anaerolineales bacterium
Lineage: Bacteria; Bacillati; Chloroflexota; Anaerolineae; Anaerolineales
Description: tRNA-Gln
Rfam family: tRNA
About the family: Transfer RNA (tRNA) molecules are approximately 80 nucleotides in length. Their secondary structure includes four short double-helical elements and three loops (D, anti-codon, and T loops). Further hydrogen bonds mediate the characteristic L-shaped molecular structure. tRNAs have two regions of fundamental functional importance: the anti-codon, which is responsible for specific mRNA codon recognition, and the 3' end, to which the tRNAs corresponding amino acid is attached (by aminoacyl-tRNA synthetases). tRNAs cope with the degeneracy of the genetic code in two manners: having more than one tRNA (with a specific anti-codon) for a particular amino acid; and 'wobble' base-pairing, i.e. permitting non-standard base-pairing at the 3rd anti-codon position.
Source: RNAcentral
UGGGGACUCGUCUAAUGGCAGGACAGUUGCCUCUGGAGCAACGAGUAGUGGUUCGAAUCCAUUGUCCCCAG